CUCUGUGACUCCUACGGGAGGCAGCAGUGGGGAAUAUUGCACAAUGGGGCGCAAGCCUGAUGCAGCCAUGCCGCGUGUGUGAAGAAGGCCUUCGGGUUGUAAAGCACUUUCAGUCGUGAGGAAGGUAGUGUAGUUAAUAGCUGCAUUAUUUGACGUUAGCGACAGAAGAAGCACCGGCUAACUCCGUGCCAGCAGCCGCGGUAAUACGGAGGGUGCGAGCGUUAAUCGGAAUUACUGGGCGUAAAGCGCAUGCAGGUGGUUUGUUAAGUCAGAUGUGAAAGCCCGGGGCUCAACCUCGGAAUUGCAUUUGAAACUGGCAGACUAGAGUACUGUAGAGGGGGUAGAAUUUCAGGUGUAGCGGUGAAAUGCGUAGAGAUCUGAAGGAAUACCGGUGGCGAAGGCGGCCCCCUGGACAGAUACUGACACUCAGAUGCGAAAGCGUGGGGAGCAAACAGGAUUAGAUACCCUGGUAG
This 473-nucleotide ribosomal RNA is filed under the name uncultured bacterium. RNAcentral's name for it is "bacterial SSU rRNA". It matches the Rfam family "Bacterial small subunit ribosomal RNA", at positions 328 to 793 of the family's 1533-position model. The record is from RNAcentral.